This 529-nucleotide ribosomal RNA is filed under the name Pseudomonas sp. Ao4. RNAcentral describes it as "bacterial SSU rRNA". It matches the Rfam family "Bacterial small subunit ribosomal RNA", at positions 97 to 622 of the family's 1533-position model. The record is from RNAcentral. Lineage: Bacteria; Pseudomonadati; Pseudomonadota; Gammaproteobacteria; Pseudomonadales; Pseudomonadaceae.
GGCGGACGGCUGAGUAAUGCCUAGGAAUCUGCCUGGUAGUGGGGGAUAACGUUCGGAAACGGACGCUAAUACCGCAUACGUCCUACGGGAGAAAGCAGGGGACCUUCGGGCCUUGCGCUAUCAGAUGAGCCUAGGUCGGAUUAGCUAGUUGGUGGGGUAAUGGCUCACCAAGGCGACGAUCCGUAACUGGUCUGAGAGGAUGAUCAGUCACACUGGAACUGAGACACGGUCCAGACUCCUACGGGAGGCAGCAGUGGGGAAUAUUGGACAAUGGGCGAAAGCCUGAUCCAGCCAUGCCGCGUGUGUGAAGAAGGUCUUCGGAUUGUAAAGCACUUUAAGUUGGGAGGAAGGGCAGUUACCUAAUACGUGAUUGUCUUGACGUUACCGACAGAAUAAGCACCGGCUAACUCUGUGCCAGCAGCCGCGGUAAUACAGAGGGUGCAAGCGUUAAUCGGAAUUACUGGGCGUAAAGCGCGCGUAGGUGGUUUGUUAAGUUGGAUGUGAAAUCCCCGGGCUCAACCUGGGAACU